GCCUUCGUGGUGCAACGACAGCCCACUCAACGCGUAUUCAAGAGGCCCAGGUUCGAAUCCCGGCGAGGGCA
This 71-nucleotide transfer RNA is filed under the name Stegodyphus mimosarum. It matches the Rfam family "tRNA". Rfam says of the family: Transfer RNA (tRNA) molecules are approximately 80 nucleotides in length. Their secondary structure includes four short double-helical elements and three loops (D, anti-codon, and T loops). Further hydrogen bonds mediate the characteristic L-shaped molecular structure. tRNAs have two regions of fundamental functional importance: the anti-codon, which is responsible for specific mRNA codon recognition, and the 3' end, to which the tRNAs corresponding amino acid is attached (by aminoacyl-tRNA synthetases). tRNAs cope with the degeneracy of the genetic code in two manners: having more than one tRNA (with a specific anti-codon) for a particular amino acid; and 'wobble' base-pairing, i.e. permitting non-standard base-pairing at the 3rd anti-codon position. The record is from Rfam by way of RNAcentral. Lineage: Eukaryota; Metazoa; Arthropoda; Arachnida; Araneae; Eresidae.